GAAAUUAAUUAGGUUCCAUAAAUAAAACUUCAUCUGAAACAUGGAUGGGCCAAACAAAAAAUAAGCAAGCUCUUGAAUUAAGAACCUUAGGUUCCUGCUUUGUGAAAAGGCUGACAGGAUAAAAUAAAGUUGAAAGUAAAUGACAUUAACUAGGGGUGAUGCACAUAUCCACUUGCUAGUCUCACCUUCCCAUGGUUUCCAUUACUCG
RNAcentral lists this unclassified non-coding RNA (208 nucleotides) under Hevea brasiliensis (rubber tree). Lineage: Eukaryota; Viridiplantae; Streptophyta; Magnoliopsida; Malpighiales; Euphorbiaceae. The record is from RNAcentral.